CAAAAAAAUCAAAUCAGCUUACAUACAAACAUAUGCACAUACAUCUAUCAGUACUGUAUCAUUCUUUGUGAAGAAAAAUAAACUGACAGCUGUAGCCUUCCAGUUACACGGUAGUUCUGUUUCCUACAGUCAAACCAGAUGAUUAAUUACAGCUACUGCUAACCUUACAGGUAUUACUAACUUUCCAGAGUACAAAGAGCCUGAAAAAUGUAAGCCAAGUUACCCUAAGUGUGUUGGAAAGGAUCCAAAAUUUCAGUGCCUCCCUGGCACAAUUGCUUAGCAAAAUGGCACAUUUGUGAAUUUAAAGCUAAGAAUGCAUCAAAGAUUUCCAGACUGCUGAGAUGCCUCUAGCUUGGCCUUGAGGCAUUGGGAACUCUGACAAGGCCUAAAGCAAAUCAGUAUGAAAUUCAAAUGCUGCCUUUAUCAAUAUACCCUUUCAUUUAAUUCUAAUUGUGGUGUGAGACACAAUUGAUAAGACCACAGUCCCAUCCCCAUCUUUCCAAAUUGUACUACUUUGAUAGAUUCAUUUUUCUUUGUAAUUAUCCUAAUUUUACUUUUUUUUUCUGACUUUUUAAAAAUCAGGGACCUUUAGAACUAUCUGUGAACAGCACAGAAAUAUGACAGAUGCUGCAAAGGUCAGAACCAUCUUGUCAGAGCAGUCUGUGAAGAGUUCAAUAGACAUCUAAGCAGUUUUUAUGGCCCCAAGUUUCUUCAAGACUUUUCCAUCUUUUGUCGACAUCUAGAUGUUAGCCCUUGCUUUUGUGUCAUAUUGUCAUCCAGUAUUUUUUUUUCAUUAUCUUUUCAUUUAUGAUGAGACAAAUCAUAAUCUUUCUCGUUUGUAAGUCAUGCUGAAGUCAGUGGCACUAGUUGCAUUAAAAAAGGAAAUACAAUUUUGACCUUUUAAGGAUAAGCUUCUAAAGUGUUAUUGGUCAGAAGAAUGUGGUAUUAUUUACAGUACUUAGAACUGAAAUAUUUCUAAGCAUUGUGAAACAGACCACUGAAACUAAGUAAAAGACCUGUACAGCAGAUGAAAAAUAAGAGCAGCUAAAGACUUAAUUCUUCAGAGAAAAAAAAAAUAAAUCAGUAGUUAGCAUCCCUUAAGCCUCAAACACAACAUGACAUUUCUUUCCUUGCCAUAGUGCUGACAGCUAAGAGCUCAAGUCUUUUUCUCUUGGAUCCUACAAUAUCAGUUACUUCUGUCCUUGGUUUUGUUUGUUUGUUGUUUGUUUGUUAUAAUUUCUAUAUGUAUAGACAUGUCCUUGUUUCUUUCUCUAUUUUAUAACAAGCUUUGAAAAAUUCAGAAGUAACAUUAAGUACGUUAUGCAGUUGACUGUUAAGUUUGGCCAUGUAUUCCAAUUUUUAAGACAGAUAUAAGCAUUUACAACACUUUUUUACCUUCAGCUUUCCACACUAGUAUGCUUAUGACACAGGAGUUACAUAGGCCUCAUUAAAAGGGGAAAGAGCAGAUAUUGAUACUUUCUCAAAAGCAUUAUAUUGGUGCUAUUCAUUUUU
Long non-coding RNA from Oxyura jamaicensis (ruddy duck), 1512 nucleotides. RefSeq lists it as uncharacterized. NCBI's taxonomy places the organism in Eukaryota, Metazoa, Chordata, Aves, Anseriformes, Anatidae. The transcript is spliced from 3 exons. The record is from RefSeq and is a predicted model, not a curated record.